Molecule: unclassified non-coding RNA, 2700 nt
Filed under: Hevea brasiliensis (rubber tree)
Lineage: Eukaryota; Viridiplantae; Streptophyta; Magnoliopsida; Malpighiales; Euphorbiaceae
Source: RNAcentral
GAGGUAGAACUACAAUGAUUGAAGUAAAAAUGACAAAAACUCCAAAGAUCAGUCCCACCUUACUCCAAUGUACAAUAAAUUAAAGCAUUCCUAUCCGUAAAUGACCAUAUAGCAAACACUGGAACAAACGAACGAACUAGUAUUAAUGUAAUAUGCUUACUUCUUCAGCUAUCUAAAUCGCAAUUCCAAGUCAGUGAUUGACAUGAAACGAUCCACGAUUCGUGACCUGGACAGUGAUCCUCCAGUUGUGCCUGCUGCCUAUCCUAAACCUGAACUACAUCUAUUGCCUUCUCCACCACUACAACAUAGCAAAUAAAGAAAUAAUACCUCGGAACAUCCCAAAAAAAUAAAUGAAGCAGUUGACUCCAAUUGUUGAGUUGCCAACUUAAAGUUCAACGAAAUGAGAUCCGAUAUCAAAGCCUUCAGCAAUUACAGGUAGAUGCUAGUAGUAUGCUGAAGCAGUGAUGCCCAAAAAGAAGAUUUAGACGUGCCAGCCAAAAGAUCCAAAGGCUCUUGUAUGUUUGAACCUGUUCAAAUAUUUUUAUCAGAAAUUGCUUGGUUUCAUAAUUGCAAGGCCAGGUCUGGCUGCUGAGAAUCAACCAAAACGGUUGAAGAUGGACGACCAGGAGACCCAGAUGACUGGAAACUAAUGUUUAAGUCAGGGGGGAGGGAAUCCUGCUUCUGCCUUGGCUGUGCUGGUUGAUUAAACCCCUGCCAAGCAGGUUGUACCUGGAACCUAGACAAGUCCGCAGGUAUUGAUUGGCGGAAAAUCAUUUGAGGAUUCUGAAAUUGAGCUUCACUGCCCACUCUCGCAGGAUGAGGUACAAAAGCAUGAAGUGGACUACUGUUCUCAGCCUGAAAGUGCAUUGCUGAUGCAGGAUGUUCACCCCGAACUCGUGAUGUUUGUUGCUGGACAUUGCGAGAAGGGUUAUACAAUGAAUCAGCAGAAAUAUGACUAUUCUGCAUGCUUGAUGUUUCCAUGCCUUGUCUGAAACCUCCUGCCCCAACUGACAUCCAUGCUCGGGCAGCGGCGGCGGCGGCAUUUCCUGAAUCAUCCUUCCUCACAGAUGGAGUCACAGGGGAAAUUGGAGAAGCAUCAGUUAGGGACUGACUCAAAGAGUUCUGUUGAUUUUGAGCCUUUUCAGACAACAUUCUCAUCAACUGAACAGGGUCACUAAGGCCCUGCUCCUGUUCUUGGUGAAAGAAACCUGCAACUUUUCUCACGGUUGGAACGCUAUCAGCAGUUAAAUGCGCUGCUGGUGUAGUGUCUAGGUUGUUAUUCACUGCUCUCCCAUUGGCCAUUCCUCCAACAGCACUUCCAUUCUUGGCUGAUUGCGUAAAUGACCCAGAUGAGAAUGGGUUCCUCGGACUUACCCCAGUAGACCUCGAUCCAGGUGUUUCAGAAGUAACAGUAACAUUAAUCUUUCUGGUAAUUUCAGAAUUCCUAGGACUGUCUAACAGUGGGCAAUUUAACUCAACCUGCUUCUGCAGUUUUUUAUCAGGUUCAGAUUUGAAAUGGAUCUUUUUAGCAGGUUCAUUGAAAUUUCUGGAUUGCAAAUCAGGAUGCUGGUAUCUGGAGCUAGCACAAACAGCAGGUUUCUUUCCAGAAGAAAGAAACGAUGACCUCCUUUCUAGAUUGACCUCCCUAGGAGAUUGCUCCUUCGUGGGAAUCAAGACAUUCAAACCACUCUCCAUAGGCUUACCCUUAGUUGAACCAAGAUAUGAUGAUUUUCCUCCUAAUAGAGGCCUAGAAAGAGGUUUAUCUUUUGGAGCAAUUGCGUCCUCGGAUGUUUUCUCAUUCUUUUGAGCUCCAAACUUAUGUACGGACUUGGAGAAGAAUGGAGGUUCCUUCAAGGUAUAGUUCUCAAGCACCAAAACUGGGGUUGGAAGUGGCUCAUAUUCCCCAACCCACCCACGGCCAAACUUGAAUCCAGGAGGUAAUGCCUGUUCAAUUUUCUGGGAUGCAACUCGCCAUGCUACAGGACCGAGAGUUGCAGCAAACCGGGCAAGGCUCCUAGCAUAUGCAUGAUCAGAAUAAAGCCCAACAGUGACCAGGUGCUUGCUUUCAUCUUCAAACGUUGAAAAUAUGGAGUCCGUGUUGCCAACUGGUUGUGUGGAUAUGUUGUAACUUCCACGACGGUUCUCAUCAGGCACAGUUAAUUUCCUUCCAAAUCUGGAUAGAGGACCCUUCCCUGAUAGUGAUUCUUCUGCCUUGUCUACAUUUUGAUCUAUCAGUGAAGAAUUUCCUUCAGCAAGCCCAUCAACACCAUAAGGUUUCACCGACACUCCAGCAAGAGGAGUGUUGUUAAGAUAGUGGCUAUCUCCAGCUGCAGCAAGAGUGGCACCUGAUGAGAAAUCAGAGCCAACAUUUUCCUGGAACAUCGAGACCAUCGGCUUCUUUAUUUGCUUCCUGACAACAGAACCAUAUUUUGUCUUCUGUUCUAACUUGACGUCCUUUUCAGAUCGGUCAUACUUGAUUCUUAGCUUCUCAAAUUUCUUUGUAGCCAACUCUUGGAUGGUACGUGCCUGUUUAUGGUAGACAGUAUCUGAUGAAUUGUACUGCAUUGCGUUUGAACAAAUGAGGAAGAUAUCGCUCUCUAAUUGCUCCAAAGUGGCAUAUGAUCCAGUUCGCAAUUUGUUUCUGACGGUGGUAAAGUCCAUGGGAUUAUCAAUCACCUCAUGGUAAUCAGGAAGCUCUUC